AAACAAGUCAAGCAUGGAAGAAAAGCGUAGCUCGGAUGCAAGGUAAAAUUUAGCACCGGAGGACGAUCAAGCUCAGCGAGGAACCGAACACAUAAAGAACAAAGCUUCCGCAUGACGUUUCGUUGUUACUUUUAAAUGAAGAACUUAAUUACAUUAUGUUCUGAACUGUUACAUUGUAAAAGGUUUUAAUAAGCCUGUAUUUUCGAUGUA
This is a long non-coding RNA of Helianthus annuus (common sunflower), 210 nucleotides long. RefSeq lists it as uncharacterized. Lineage: Eukaryota; Viridiplantae; Streptophyta; Magnoliopsida; Asterales; Asteraceae. The record is from RefSeq and is a predicted model, not a curated record. The transcript has 2 exons.